RNAcentral lists this long non-coding RNA (3139 nucleotides) under Sus scrofa (pig). Its description in RNAcentral is "lncRNA (ENSSSCG00065009656.1)". The record is from RNAcentral. Lineage: Eukaryota; Metazoa; Chordata; Mammalia; Artiodactyla; Suidae.
GGAAAAAGGUCCCAAUUAAUGGAUUCUGACAUGGAUUAUGAAAGGCCAAACGUAGAGACCAUCAAGUGCGUGGUGGUGGGGGACAACGCCGUGGGCAAGACCAGGCUCAUUUGUGCCCGGGCCUGCAAUGCCACCCUCACCCAGUACCAGCUGCUCGCCACCCACGUGCCCACGGUUUGGGCCAUCGACCAGUAUCGGGUGUGCCAGGAGGUGCUGGAACGUUCCCGAGACGUAGUAGAUGAUGUCAGCGUGUCCCUCCGCCUCUGGGACACCUUCGGAGAUCACCACAAAGACCGUCGCUUUGCUUAUGGGAGAUCUGAUGUGGUGGUUCUGUGCUUCUCCAUUGCCAACCCCAACUCCCUCCACCAUGUCAAGACCAUGUGGUACCCAGAAAUCAAGCACUUCUGCCCCCGAGCACCUGUCAUCUUGGUGGGUUGCCAGCUGGACCUGCGUUAUGCUGACCUGGAGGCUGUCAAUAGGGCCAGGAGACCCUUGGCUAGGCCCAUCAAGCCCAAUGAAAUCCUUCCCCCAGAGAAGGGUCGGGAAGUGGCCAAGGAGCUGGGCAUCCCCUACUAUGAGACCAGUGUGGUGGCCCAGUUUGGCAUCAAGGACGUCUUUGACAACGCCAUCCGGGCAGCGCUCAUUUCCCGCCGGCACCUGCAGUUCUGGAAGUCCCACCUCCGCAACGUGCAGCGGCCUCUGCUGCAGGCGCCCUUCCUGCCCCCCAAGCCACCUCCCCCCAUCAUCGUGGUGCCCGACCCCCCCUCCAGCAGCGAAGAGUGCCCCGCCCACCUCCUGGAGGACCCGCUGUGUGCGGAUGUCAUCCUGGUGCUGCAGGAACGGGUGCGCAUCUUUGCCCACAAGAUCUACCUCUCCACCUCCUCCUCCAAGUUCUAUGACCUGUUCCUCAUGGACCUGAGUGAGGGGGAGCUGGGGGGCCCCUCGGGGUCAGGGGGCCCCCACCCGGAGGACCACCGGGGUCACCCUGAUCACCACCACCACCACCACCACCACCACCACCACGGCCGGGACUUCCUGCUCCGGGCAGCCAGCUUUGAUGUGUGCGAGAGUGUGGAGGAGGGUGGGGGCUCUGGUCCCGCUGGGCUGCGGGCCUCAACCAGCGAUGGGAUCUUACGGGGCAACGGGACAGGGUACCUGCCCGGGAGGGGUCGAGUGCUGUCUUCCUGGAGCCGAGCUUUUGUGAGCAUCCAGGAAGAGAUGGCAGAAGAUCCACUGACUUACAAAUCCCGGCUGAUGGUGGUGGUGAAAAUGGACAACUCCAUCCAACCGGGGCCCUUCCGGGCUGUUCUCAAGUACCUGUACACAGGGGAGUUGGACGAGAAUGAGCGGGACCUCAUGCACAUUGCCCACAUUGCUGAGCUGCUCGAGGUCUUCGAUCUGCGCAUGAUGGUGGCCAACAUUCUCAACAACGAGGCCUUCAUGAACCAGGAAAUCACCAAGGCCUUCCAUGUCCGCCGGACCAACCGGGUUAAGGAGUGCUUGGCAAAAGGCACCUUCUCAGAUGUGACCUUCAUCCUGGAUGAUGGCACCAUCAGCGCCCACAAGCCCCUGUUGAUUUCCAGCUGUGACUGGAUGGCUGCCAUGUUUGGGGGGCCAUUUGUGGAGAGUUCCACCAGGGAGGUGGUGUUUCCUUACACGAGCAAGAGCUGCAUGAGGGCAGUGCUGGAGUACCUCUACACGGGCAUGUUCACGUCCAGUCCCGACCUGGACGACAUGAAGCUCAUCAUCCUGGCCAACCGCCUCUGCCUGCCCCACCUGGUUGCCCUCACAGAACAGUACACCGUGACCGGGCUGAUGGAAGCGACUCAGAUGAUGGUGGACAUCGAUGGGGACGUCCUUGUGUUCCUGGAACUGGCUCAGUUCCACUGUGCGUACCAGCUGGCCGACUGGUGUCUCCAUCACAUCUGUACCAACUAUAACAACGUGUGUCGCAAGUUCCCCCGAGACAUGAAGGCCAUGUCCCCAGAAAACCAGGAGUAUUUUGAGAAGCACCGCUGGCCGCCCGUCUGGUACCUGAAGGAGGAGGAUCACUACCAGCGGGCCCGGAAGGAGCGUGAGAAGGAGGACUAUCUCCACCUGAAACGGCAGCCCAAGCGGCGCUGGCUGUUCUGGAACAGUCCCUCCUCACCGUCCUCUUCAGCUGCGUCCUCUUCGUCCCCAUCUUCCUCCUCGGCUGUGGUCUGAGAUGCUGCCGCCCUCUUCUGACCCUGCUGCUCUCGUCCCCACUUGUCCUUGCCCCUCUGCUCCUCUGCAUCGCCCCCUCUACCUUCCAGGGACAAAGGACUCACAUAACCAGGACCCCACGGGCAGAGCUGCUCUCACCAGCCAACACAGCUCAGCAAAGAGAGGAAGGAGCCAGGCCGCGUGGAUCAGAACAGGGAGCCCCCCCACCUCUGCUGAGGUCCCGCUUCCAGAAACCGAGGCAGGAGACGACUCUUGGGAGGUGGGGAACAGGAGAAGAGCUGAGGGCUGUGGCACCUUGUCUCUGGGUCAGAGAACCCUAGAGUCAAAGGGAGAACUCCCCCAGCCGCGAGGCUGCGUGUCUUGGGUCCACGGAGGCAGCUCCCUCCCUGGGAGUGGUGGUGCCCAGGAAGGGCCCUUUCUCGGGGGGCCGUGUGUUUCCAUCCACGGACUUGGGGGGUUGCAGAUGUUUUGUGGGCAUUUCCACGUGGAGCCUACUCAAUUCCUCACUGGAGAAGUCAGGGUAGAAAUUAAGCCUUUAGAGCCCAACUCGAGACUUCCACACCUGGGGUGCAGCUGCCAGAGGCCAUGGGUGGAAGGCUUGCCCUCUGCGGGCACCCCUGCCAUGGCUGUGGGCAUCCAGGCCUGAGAAGGGUGGCAGAGAUUGUUCAGAGCUGCAGGUCUAGAAGCAGUGCCUCUUGGUGCAGUGAGAGACUUUUCUCUCCCCCCUCCUUCACUGCUCAGAUUUCCAGAUAGAAACCAAACAAAACAGCUGGAACCGGGGGAGAGAAGGAGGCGGGGGAUGGGGGCCUGGGCGCAGCAAUCCCGUACUCCUCUGGGCCCUCCACCCCCCACCCCACCCCCCCGCCUCUGGUCAGCACAGCUUCUUAUGGGAUAGGGCAAAAUUAGCAAAAAAAAAAAAAAAAAAAAAAAAAAA